This 500-nucleotide ribosomal RNA is filed under the name uncultured bacterium. Its description in RNAcentral is "bacterial SSU rRNA". It matches the Rfam family "Bacterial small subunit ribosomal RNA", at positions 355 to 874 of the family's 1533-position model. The record is from RNAcentral.
UGAGGGAUCUUGCACAAUGGGGGCAACCCUGAUGCAGCGACGCCGCGUGGGUGAGGAAGGCCUUCGGGUCGUAAAGCCCUUUUCUGCGUGACGAGGAAGGACGGUAGCGCAGGAAGAAGCGUCGGCUAACUACGUGCCAGCAGCCGCGGUAAAACGUAGGACGCGAGCGUUAUCCGGAGUUACUGGGCGUAAAGGGCGUGCAGGCGGGGGCGGAAGUCACGCGUGAAAGUCUUCGGCUCAACCGGGGGAAGACGGGUGAGACUCCGCACCUAGAGGGCGCUAGAGGGACACGGAAUUCCGGGUGUAGUGGUGAAAUGCGUAGAGAUCCGGAGGAACACCAGUGGCGCAGGCGGUGUUCUGGGGGCGCACCUGACGCUGAGACGCGAAAGCAUGGGGAGCGAACGGGAUUAGAAACCCCGGUAGUCCAUGCCGUAAACGAUGCCGACUAGCGGUCUGGAGAGAUCUGGGUCGCGCAGCCAACGGCGAUAAGUCGGCCGCCU